GAUGAACGCUGGCGGCGUGCCUAACACAUGCAAGUCGAGCGAACAGACGAGGAGCUUGCUCCUUUGACGUUAGCGGCGGACGGGUGAGUAACACGUAGGUAACCUACCUAUAAGACUGGGAUAACUUCGGGAAACCGGAGCUAAUACCGGAUAAUAUUUCGAACCGCAUGGUUCGAUAGUGAAAGAUGGCUUUGCUAUCACUUAUAGAUGGACCUGCGCCGGAUUAGUUAGUUGGUAAGGUAACGGCUUACCAAGGCAACGAUCCGUAGCCGACAGGAGAGGGGGAUCGCCCAACUUGGACUUGAGACACGGUCCAGCCCCCUACGGGAGGCAGCAGUAGGGAAUUUGCCGCAAUGGGGGAAAGCUGGACGGAGCAACGCCGCGGGGGUGAUGAGGGCUUCCGGAUGUUAAAACGCUGUUAUGGGGAAAGAACAAACGUGUAAGUAACUGUGCUGGUCUUGAGGUUACCUAAGCAGAAGGCCCGGCUAACUUCCUU
This 496-nucleotide ribosomal RNA is filed under the name uncultured bacterium. Its description in RNAcentral is "partial 16S ribosomal RNA". It matches the Rfam family "Bacterial small subunit ribosomal RNA", at positions 28 to 507 of the family's 1533-position model. The record is from RNAcentral.